Molecule: long non-coding RNA, 199 nt
Filed under: Vigna radiata
Lineage: Eukaryota; Viridiplantae; Streptophyta; Magnoliopsida; Fabales; Fabaceae
Description: long non-coding RNA (VRAD_LNC000814)
Source: RNAcentral
CGCUAACUUCUGUUUAUAAUGUGGUAGUAAUUACUAGGGCAGGCUAGGGACAGCAAGCCAGUAGUUAAUAUUAGGCUCUUUUUGCCGAGGGAUCAGGUUAAAGGUAGGCUAAGAAAGUCGCAUAACAAUUAAUUAAUGAAACUAAUAUUCAAGAGGAGUAGAUAAGAGAGGGCGGAUUAGAUGAAAUUAUAGACCCCCA